This 75-nucleotide transfer RNA is filed under the name Candidatus Methanomethylophilus alvi Mx1201. RNAcentral's name for it is "tRNA-Gly (CCC) (tRNA-Gly-CCC-1-1)". It matches the Rfam family "tRNA". Rfam says of the family: Transfer RNA (tRNA) molecules are approximately 80 nucleotides in length. Lineage: Archaea; Methanobacteriati; Thermoplasmatota; Thermoplasmata; Methanomassiliicoccales; Methanomethylophilaceae. RNAcentral also lists the same sequence under 2 other names. The record is from RNAcentral.
GCGGCUGUAGUCCAGUGGUUAUGACGAUGGCUUCCCAAGCCUUUGACCCGGGUUCGAAUCCCGGCAGCCGCACCA